RNAcentral lists this ribosomal RNA (515 nucleotides) under uncultured bacterium. RNAcentral's name for it is "partial 16S ribosomal RNA". It matches the Rfam family "Bacterial small subunit ribosomal RNA", at positions 28 to 523 of the family's 1533-position model. The record is from RNAcentral.
GAUGAACGCUGGCGGCGUGCCUAAUACAUGCAAGUCGAGCGAAUGGAUUAAGAGCUUGCUCUUAUGAAGUUAGCGGCGGACGGGUGAGUAACACGUGGGUAACCUGCCCAUAAGACUGGGAUAACUCCGGGAAACCGGGGCUAAUACCGGAUAACAUUUUGAACCGCAUGGUUCGAAAUUGAAAGGCGGCUUCGGCUGUCACUUAUGGAUGGACCCGCGUCGCAUUAGCUAGUUGGUGAGGUAACGGCUCACCAAGGCAACGAUGCGUAGCCGACCUGAGAGCGUGAUCGGCCACACUGGGACUGAGACACGGCCCAGACUCCUACGGGAGGCAGCAGUAGGGAAUCAUCCGCAAUGGACGAAAGUCUGACGGAGCAACGCCGCGUGAGUGAUGAAGGCUUUCGGGUCGUAAAACUCUGUUGUUAGGGAAGAACAAGUGCUAGUUGAAUAAGCUGGCACCUUGACGGUACCUAACCAGAAAGCCACGGCUAACUACGUGCCAGCCGCCGCGGUAA